Molecule: microRNA precursor, 207 nt
Organism: Oryza sativa Indica Group (long-grained rice)
Lineage: Eukaryota; Viridiplantae; Streptophyta; Magnoliopsida; Poales; Poaceae
Rfam family: MIR812 microRNA precursor family
Source: Rfam
AAAAAGACAAAUCCUGGUUUCCGUGUCCAACGUUUGACCAUCCGUCUUAUUUAAAAAAAUUAUGAAAAAAAAAUUAAAAAGACAAGUCAUGCAUAAAAUAUUAAUAAUGUUUUAUCAUCUAACAACAAUGAAAAUACGAAUUAUAAAAAAAUUUUAUAUAAGACGGACAGUUAAAGUUGGACACAAAAAUACAGGGUUUGUUUUUCU